UUACCUAUUCCACCAAUUCCAU
Molecule: microRNA, 22 nt
Filed under: Medicago truncatula (barrel medic)
Lineage: Eukaryota; Viridiplantae; Streptophyta; Magnoliopsida; Fabales; Fabaceae
Description: mtr-miR2089-5p
Source: miRBase by way of RNAcentral